Molecule: long non-coding RNA, 2831 nt
Organism: Oreochromis niloticus (Nile tilapia)
Lineage: Eukaryota; Metazoa; Chordata; Actinopteri; Cichliformes; Cichlidae
Exons: 3
Source: RefSeq, a predicted model, not a curated record
CUAAUCGCAAAAAUAAUCGGUGACUAGUCGACUAUCAAAAUAAUCGUUUGUGGCAGCCCUAAGUCUGACUAAUAAGCCUUUUUGCAAAUUUCUGUGAGUAUAUAUGGACUUUACACAGUUUCUGCUUGUAAUGUCAAACCAUAAUUUGGCUACAGUAAGAAUCGAGCAUUGUUGUUGUUGUUGUUGUUGUUGUUACAGUGAAGCUGUUUCCAUAGCUGGGCGAUCCUUUUCAUGUGCCAUCAGAUGAUGUCAAUUAAUACAGAACACUUUAUCAAGACUAGAUAAUGGAAGGAAUGGAGAAACAAAAGCCCACAUCACAGCAGGAGGGUGGAGGAGGAAGCAAGGAAGGGAGGAAGUUUAAAUUCGCAGAACGGAAAACACUGAAGCUGCAGGUCUGGAUCAACAGCAUCGGGGCAUGUGUCUAAUGAGACGAUGGGUGGUGUCCUGAGGCAUCUCCUCCCAGAUCUGGACUAGAGCAUCACUAAGCUCCUGGACAGUCUCACAUUCAACCUGGCAGCAUCAGACUCAGGGUUAACCUGCUCUCGUCUGUGAAAAGCACAGAGCGUCAGUGGUGGACCUGCCAAUCCUGGUAUUCUACGGCAAGCUGGCUCCACAGUGCUGCCCAGUGAGCACAGAGGCCACUAGAGGACGUCAGGCCCUCAGGCCACCCUCAUGAAGUCUGUUUCUGAUUGUUUGGUUUGUUUUUUGUUGCAUUCCUGUGCCCUAUACACUGCACACUUACACACUGACCCGACUGGGAAACAUUCAUCGCUAUGAGAGUCUCACUCUUAAGGGCCUGUUACAGCCAGUGUGUAACACACCAACACCGGAAACCACUACUUAUGUCCACUAGUAUAAACACCUAAACAACACAUAACUGAGAUCACAGCACCAGUCCCAUGAGCCUUUGUGCUUGCCUUUGCAGAGGAGUUCACUACUUCAGAAAUAAAUCUCAAAUUAUUAACUGCAACAAGUGCACCAAACUACACUUGACAAAAAGUAACAGUUACUCAUUACAAGUUGUAAACUAAAUGCAACAAUAAUAUAUAGUUAUAGGAUGUUAUCAUAUAUGAUAUAGUUUUAUAGUUAUAAUUAUGUAGUUAUGUAAUAUAUAGGCCAUAAUCACAUUUAUAUAUAGCAUUUAUAUUACAGCUGAAUUUUAGUUAUAUAGUUACAGGACACAGUUUACAUUUACUUUUAUGUAGGGCUUUUCCACAUUAACUGCUAAAGCACUUUUUACAACAAGUCACAUUAUCCUAUAGAUACAAACGCACAAUCACAUACACAUUAACAUUCUGCGUGUUUAUAUAAUAAAGAUAAAACGGGAAUGAGCGCUGCCUGUGUUUACAAAAUAUGAAACAGUUCUGAAACUGCUGACUCUUUACUUUUAGGAUUCAGUUCCUUCUUUAAAAACAAAAAAAACAACCUUUUUAAACCUAAUCCUUUUUCAUCUUAGAAUGUGUUAAUAAAUGUAAGCUAGUAAUAUAUGUAUGUAUAUUGUGCAUCUGUGUGAUAGAAAACUGCACCGCAUUCUUGGUCAGUGAAAAAGUCUUUGGUGAAAACACUUUCCUGAGCGCUGCAGUGUGAGAGGCUAAAAACAGAAAGGGAACACUUUGGCCUCGGAAAGAUCCCAAAGCACACACGAGAAAAGCUAAAUGGUAAGAAGUAUUUCCCGUGUCUGAAGAACGUCAUCCUUGCUUGACUCCAACCACACGCAGAAGUCCAUCCCUCUCCCUGCUCUGUCAGUUGCUUUACUUAUUUCUCGACCAUUCUCACACUCACAGACACACACACACACUGAGCUAAAGAUAGUCCUAGCUAUGGUUUAGUUAGCCUCAAGGCCUGCAGUCAAACAUCUGGAAAACAGCUGGUAGCUGAAUUAAGGACUACUGCCUGGGCAGUGGUGGCCUUUAUUGUUCUGCAGUCCAAAUCUGUUCCCUCUAUAAUUACACUGCAGUGCUAAUGAAGGUGUGAGGAUUUAUGGCAUUGUGAAUAAGCAGCUUGUCAAGACACCACAAAUCCUGUGAAUGCUUCAUGCAAACUUAAGACCUAUAAGCCUCGAUGACUUCUUAUGGUUGCAUCAUUUUUGCCAAAUAAAUGAAGUGCAUGAACAUAACUCCUUUCAGCAGUAAGUAAACCCAGGAAGUGAGUGGUGUGUGGGUCUAGUAUUUUUAACUUCUGCACCUGCUCCCUGUUGUGUUGACAGCCGAGCCUGGGACAGAGUCAGACUUACUGCCUUCUCAAACACAUUCAUAACAUUCAUUCAUGUAUAUUUUGGCACUCUUGCAGCAAGGACAAAAGAGGUGAGCGAGAAAAGAGGUGAACAUCAUGAGAUUAUUGCACUAAUAUUUGUUCCAGUGUCUUUUUGGGGGGGGGGGAUUACCAGUAUAUUUCCCAUAUUUUCUAGCUCGUUACAUAUAAAAGCCAAUCAGAAAAUAUCAUCUUUUGUAUUCAGCAACUUUCUUAAGCAUAUCUGCUUUGCACACUGCAGUGUCUGUACACUGGAGCAGCUUCUUUAACACCUGAUUCUGCAGAAUGGAUUCAAGGGCAAGAGGUAGUGUUUUGGGACAAACAAGCACAGCUUCUGCCACACCUCUGAACAAUGUAUUGUGCCCUUGACAGUUUUUACAUGGAAAUGCAAGGGAAUGUAACUAAAGUAUACCAAACUCCACAGAACAUAAACAGGGGAUAUUCUGCCAUUUAUAGCCGAGUGGCAAAAUGACCAUACAUAGCAUUAUUUGAGACAGAUUUUACAGAAGUGAGCAUCAGAAUGGAGAAGAAAGAAGACUUUGAAUGUGGUUGCUGGUGGACUGAAUAUUUCAGAAAGUGCU